GAAUUCGCCCUUAGAGUUUGAUCCUGGCUCAGGACUAACGCUGGCGGCGUGCCUAAUACAUGCAAGUCGAACGGUCGUGCGUUUGUAGCAAUAUGGACGUACGAUAGUGGCGAACGGGUGAGUAACACGUGGAAAACCUACCCUCGAGCGGGGGAUAACUCCGGGAAACUGGGGCUAAUACUGUAUGACAUCCCUUCUUGGUAUCGUGAGGGGAUCAAAACCGAAAGGCACUGAGGGAUGGUUCCGCGGCCUAUCAGAUAGUGGGCGGGGUAACGGCCCACCAAGGCGACGGCGGGUAGCCGGCCUGAGAGGGCGAUCGGCCACAAGGGGACUGAGACACGGCCCCUACUCCUACGGGAGGCAGCAGUAGGGAAUUUUGCUCAAUGGGGGAAACCCUGAAGCAGCGACGCCGCGUGGGCGACGAAAUCCUUCGGGAUGUAAAGCCCUUUUAACCGGGACGAAAUACAUGACGGUACCGGUGGAAUAAGCCUCGGCUAACUCCGUGCCAGCAGCCGCGGUAAGACGGGGGAGGCAAGCGUUGUCCGGAAUCACUGGGUGUAAAGGGCGUGUAGGCGGGCCGGCUAGUCGGUUGUUAAAUCUCUCCGCUCAACGGAGAAGCUGCGGCCGAUACUUCCGGUCUUGAGUGCGGCAGGGGAGGAUGGAAUUCCUGGUGUAGCGGUGAAAUGCGUAGAUAUCAGGAGGAACACCGGUGGCGAAGGCGGUCCUCUGGGCCUGCACUGACGCUGAGUGCGCGAAAGCUGGGGUAGCAAACAGAAUUAGAUACUCUGGUAGUCCCAGCC
This 800-nucleotide ribosomal RNA is filed under the name uncultured bacterium. RNAcentral's name for it is "bacterial SSU rRNA". It matches the Rfam family "Bacterial small subunit ribosomal RNA", at positions 1 to 801 of the family's 1533-position model. The record is from RNAcentral.